RNAcentral lists this ribosomal RNA (468 nucleotides) under uncultured bacterium. RNAcentral describes it as "partial 16S ribosomal RNA". It matches the Rfam family "Bacterial small subunit ribosomal RNA", at positions 28 to 507 of the family's 1533-position model. The record is from RNAcentral.
GACGAACGCUGGCGGCGUGCUUAACACAUGCAAGUCGAACGGAAAGGCCCUGCGUUUGUGGGGUGCUCGAGUGGCGAACGGGUGAGUAACACGUGAGUAACCUGCCCUUGACUUUGGGAUAACUUCAGGGAACUGGGGCUAAUACAGGAUAGGAGCUCCUGCUGCAUGGUGGGGGUGGGAAAGUUUCUGCGGUUGGGGAUGGACUCGCGGCUUAUCAGCUUGUUGGUGGGGUAGUGGCUUACCAAGGCUUUGACGGGUAGCCGGCCUGAGAGGGUGACCGGCCACAUUGCGACUGAGAUACGGCCCAGACUCCUACGGGAGGCAGCAGUGGGGAAUAUUGCACAAUGGGCGGAAGCCUGAUGCAGCAACGCCGCGUGCGGGAUGACGGCCUUCGGGUUGUAAACCGCUUUCGCCUGUGACGAAGCGUGAGUGACGGUAAUGGGUAAAGAAGCACCGGCUAACUACGUG